UGGGGAAUUUUGGACAAUGGGCGAAAGCCUGAUCCAGCAAUGCCGCGUGUGUGAAGAAGGCCUUCGGGUUGUAAAGCACUUUUAUCAGGAGCGAAACGCUGUCGGCUAAUACCCGGCGGAACUGACGGUACCUGAGGAAUAAGCACCGGCUAACUUCGUGCCAGCAGCCGCGGUAAUACGAGGGGUGCAAGCGUUAAUCGGAAUUACUGGGCGUAAAGCGUGCGUAGGCGGUUUCUUAAGUCUGCUGUGAGAUCCCCGGGCUCAACCUGGGAAUGGCAGUGGAUACUGGGAGGCUAGAGUGUGUCAGAGGGUGGUGGAAUUCCCGGUGUAGCGGUGAAAUGCGUAGAGAUCGGGAGGAACAUCAGUGGCGAAGGCGGCCACCUGGGACAACACUGACGCUGAGGCACGAAAGCGUGGGAAGCAAACAGGAUUAGAUACCCUGGUAGUCCACGCCCUAAACGAUGCGAACUGGAUGUUGGUCUCAACUCGGAGAUCAGUGUCGAAGCUAACGCGUUAAGUUCGCCGCCUGGGGAGUACGGUCGCAAGACUGAAACUCAAAUGAAUUGAC
This 568-nucleotide ribosomal RNA is filed under the name uncultured bacterium. RNAcentral describes it as "partial 16S ribosomal RNA". It matches the Rfam family "Bacterial small subunit ribosomal RNA", at positions 355 to 914 of the family's 1533-position model. The record is from RNAcentral.